This 253-nucleotide ribosomal RNA is filed under the name uncultured bacterium. RNAcentral's name for it is "partial 16S ribosomal RNA". It matches the Rfam family "Bacterial small subunit ribosomal RNA", at positions 524 to 776 of the family's 1533-position model. The record is from RNAcentral. RNAcentral also lists the same sequence under 1 other name.
UACGUAGGGGGCAAGCGUUAUCCGGAUUUACUGGGUGUAAAGGGAGCGUAGACGGCGAGGCAAGUCUGAUGUGAAAACCCGGGGCUCAACCCCGUGACUGCAUUGGAAACUGUUUUGCUUGAGUGCCGGAGAGGUAAGCGGAAUUCCUAGUGUAGCGGUGAAAUGCGUAGAUAUUAGGAGGAACACCAGUGGCGAAGGCGGCUUACUGGACGGCAACUGACGUUGAGGCUCGAAAGCGUGGGGAGCAAACAGG